GAUGAACGCUGGCGGCGUGCCUAAUACAUGCAAGUCGAGCGAACAGACGAGGAGCUUGCUCCUCUGACGUUAGCGGCGGACGGGUGAGUAACACGUGGAUAACCUACCUAUAAGACUGGGAUAACUUCGGGAAACCGGAGCUAAUACCGGAUAAUAUAUUGAACCGCAUGGUUCAAUAGUGAAAGACGGUUUUGCUGUCACUUAUAGAUGGAUCCGCGCCGCAUUAGCUAGUUGGUAAGGUAACGGCUUACCAAGGCAACGAUGCGUAGCCGACCUGAGAGGGUGAUCGGCCACACUGGAACUGAGACACGGUCCAGCCUCCUACGGGAGGCAGCAGUAGGGAAUCUUCCGCAAAGGGCGAAAGCCUGACGGAGCAACGCCGCGUGAGUGAUGAAGGUCUUCGGAUCGUAAAACUCUGUUAUUAGGGAAGAACAAAUGUGUAAGUAACUAUGCACGUCUUGACGGUACCUAAUCAGAAAGCCACGGCUAACUACGUG
This 497-nucleotide ribosomal RNA is filed under the name uncultured bacterium. RNAcentral describes it as "partial 16S ribosomal RNA". It matches the Rfam family "Bacterial small subunit ribosomal RNA", at positions 28 to 507 of the family's 1533-position model. The record is from RNAcentral.